CCUCCUCCCUGUACUCACUGGUGUAGAGGGAGGAGUAAAAGCUGACCGCUCGCCUCCUAAUCUGGCAUGGUUCCACCACCGGCAACCCUGUGUCUGCCAAGAGCGCAUGGAUCCCCCUCCCCUGCCCACUCUUCCUCUCCAGGCAGAAGAAAAAACUAGAGGGAGUGUCCAUCUCCGUGAUGGUCUGGAAUCGGGACCUGACCAGUGCACCCUGAGCUUUAACGUCUAACAGGUCGGCCAGAGCCAUUUUUUUGAUCUUGAGGAUUUCAAAAUGUCCUCGCUCUCCUGUGGACUCGUUUAAACGCUCUAGUUCCACUAUAUCAGUCUCCAGGUCCUUCAUAGAUCCGGUGAUGUCUUUGGUCACGUUGAAAGUGUGCUGCUGACAAAGAAGCCUAAUCUCGCUCUUACCGCGGUCCCACCACUGCCUAAAACUACUAAAAUCACUCUUCCUCAGCCUAAAAACACUCCAAAAAUAUGAAAGGACCGCUCUAAAAUUCCUAUCAAAUGUUAAACCGGAGUUAAAAUGCCAGUACGCGCUUUUUGGCAAAAUGUUCCUAAUAAAAACAUUACACACUAGCAGGGAAUGAUCUGAAAAAACAGCCGGUACAAUGGUACACAUUUUAAAAAUAUUAAAAUGGUGCUUAAAAACAUAAAACCGAUCAAGCCUGGCUGAGGAGAUUCUACCUUCUCUGAGGUGGGACCACGUGUGCUGUCGGCAGUCUGCAUGCAUCCUUCUCCACACAUCUACCCGGCCAUGAGACCGGACCAGCUGCCUUAGAGCGUGCUGGGAAGCUGGAUGUGGCUCUGCGUGGUUGCGGUCUAUGGUCGCAUCUUCUGUGCAGUUAAAAUCCCCCCCGAAGAAUAAAAAAUCCUCCGGGGCACAGCCAUCUAAAAGAUCAUUAACUUUUGUUAAAAACAGCUUCCUCUCUGUACCGAUUGUUGGAGCACAUUGAUAAAACAACAGUAAAAAGGUGGAACCGUGCCUUGACUAAAAACAACCUCCCCUCGAUGAUGUGUUUGACCUCCAGAGAUACUGGCUUAGAGGACCUGGAGAAGAGGAAGCCCACUCCUCCACUGAGGUUGGUGUUGUGGCUCAGCAGGACUUCCCUCCUCCAGUCGGCCUCGUUGGUGCUGUCGCUGUGCGUCUCUUGCACGAAGAGAACAUCAAGACGUUUCAUUUUUUUAAAUUCAUAAAUAGAUGCCCUCUUCUUGGCAUCUCUGGCUCCGUUCACAUUCAGGCUUCCCACUUUUAAAGUAUCCAUGAUAAAAAUAAAUAAAAAUAAAACCAAUAAAUCAAUUAAAACACACAUUGGGGCUUUUCUCGUGAUCAUCGAUUGCUCGUUUUGCUUUUAGCACAAGUUUUUUUAGUCUAAAACCCUCUUGAUCUGUGAAGCCAGACUCCUCUCGCUGGCUCAUGCGGAGUCUGGCUGAGUUAUAAAAACACACCAGGUCUGGAAAAACUCCUCGAUUUUUAGAUUUCUCCUAUUUUUGACUUUUUGUAAAAACAUUUUGAUUUGCUCUGCGGAGUAGAGCUUUUCCCGCUGGCUGUGUGUCAGACAGGCGCUGUGGCUGUCGCUGCUGUCCGACACACAGCCCUCACUCUCACUGCCCUCAGAUGGCCCCUGACCCCCCAUGGCCUCCUCUUCCUCCCCCACCUUGCUGGCUUUUGCCUCGCUGCCUGUAUCUUGCCUCUUUUUUCUUCUUUUUGUUGCAGCUUUUUGCUCUCCUGCUUCCUCCUCCACCAUCUUAACCUCCUCUGCCUGUUCCACCCCCCCAUUCAGUCCUCCCCCCAACUGUGCCUCUCUGGCACCUGACUCCUGUUCCACACUAACCCCCCCCUCACCCUUUUCCUUUCCUUCCCCUCCAUCCUCACCCUGUGCCACCUCACCCAAAGCUCCUCUCUCACCCACCAAAACACCCUCAUUUACACUGUGCACAUCUUCCAUACUCACCCCGUGUAGGUCAGGCACAGCAGCGCAACGGCCCGCGGCCCGCGGAACCGGAAACGGCCUCACGGACGCCGCAGCCACCUCCGCGGCUGGAGACUCCCCCGCAAGCGCCGCGGCCGGAGGCUCCCCCGCCGCAGCCGCGGCCGGAGACCCCCCCGCAAGAGCCGCGGCCGGAGGCUCCCCCGCCGCAGGCGCGGCCGGAGACCCCCCCGCCAAAACCGCGGCCGGAGGAUCCCCCGCCGCAGCCCCGCCAGGCGGAGUCGGGUCCCCGCGCCUCGGGCAGGCACCCACGGUGUGCCCCUCCUCGCCGCAACCGAAACAUUUCAUCGCCGACGAUGAUGCAAAAAUCACGUACUCAUAAUCAUCUAUCUUAACAUGGAAGCGGAGGUUGAGCUCCACAUUCCGGUUGUUAAGUAUCAUAUACAGGUGUCUGCGGUGAGACACUACGUGCUUCAGUAACUGAGACCUGCAUCCAGACAAGAUCUUUUUGAUCGGUGAGACCACCUUUCCGUGUCUGGAGAGUUCUCUGCUGAGAAAUUCGUCGGUGAUGAACGGAGGGACGUUCGAUAGAACCACCUUCGUGGCCGGUUGCGUCAGUGGCAACACCUGCACAAACAUUUCAUUCACCGUGAGGCCCGCCUCGACGACUCGGUUCACCUUCUCCACCUGGUCCAGGAAAAUGACCACGGCCCCGUUCAUCCGAGCGGCCGACUUAACGCUGCCGUGCCCGACCACUUCCCCCACAGCCAACCCGAUGUCCUCCACGCUGCACGGGAAGCCCGCGGCGAUCUUAAUGCCGUGCUUCCUCGUGAGCUGGGAGAACGUGUCCCCAUUUACCAUGGCGUCUAGAGACGCCGACCGGCGAGACACCGGCAGGAGAAAAGAAAACCAAAGAAAAGAACCCCAACAACUAACCCCACAACUAAAGUGAAAAACAACCACUAAACCACAUUAAAUUAAUAUAUCUAACUAAGGGAAAAAAAGAACAACGAGAGAAAAACCGCUCACUCAGGACGCUCACACACACUCACACACACUCACUCCCAGCA
Gasterosteus aculeatus aculeatus (three-spined stickleback) is the source of this 2998-nucleotide long non-coding RNA. The record is from Ensembl. NCBI's taxonomy places the organism in Eukaryota, Metazoa, Chordata, Actinopteri, Perciformes, Gasterosteidae.